UUGAUUCUUUGUGGUAUCUUUGCUCUACUCACAGAAUACGCAAAUACUGAAAUAAUUUCAAAGCAGGGUGAUGGCUGCUUUUGGAAGACUUGACAAAAAAUACAGAAAAUGAAUCAUAACAUGGGUUCCUAACAAUAGAUAUUUUUGGUAGGAUACUGCGGCAGCUUCCUGUCACACCAAAAUGCUUAGUAGAGUAUUCAUGAUGAUUCAAAAAUAAAUUUCCUUUGUAAAAAUAAAAUUGAGGUUUCACAGGCCGACUGCCUUCAUGCUGUAAAAGGGCAUAACUAUGCUGUUGGUUCCAGCAGGUUAUUAUGAGCUGCCUUGAAAAACAGUUGUUUCCACUUGAAAGAGCUGCGUAUGGCGUGGCAUUUGGAACCUAGCUGGACGUUAACCUCCACCGGUUCCACCAGUCAGCGGGUGCCCAUCGCUGUAGCGGUGACAUGAACAACACCUGUGACAGGGGGGACGGCUGCAGUCGGGUCGCAGUUCAUCCCUUCACCAAAGCGAACACUAGUGCUGGCCUCUUCCCACCACCACGCGCUCCAGGAUAGUGAGCUCCGCAGGGAGCCGGAACCUCUGCCCGCAGGGCUUGCAGAAACCAGGCUGCCAGGUGCCUUGGCAGCCCACCUGCCGCUCUAUGCCACUUUGGCUGCACCCAGAGUCACCUCUGACUCACGGGAGCCUUCACAUGUCCUAGAGCUUGUUCCACUUCAUCACACGCCGAGGAUGGCACUUGUCAUCAUGCGUGGUCGCGCGGCACUAGAGAAGCGGAGGCCGGCGCAGAGCAGCUCCCCUGGCUGCAGGAGAAAGCUCUCAUCCAAGAAGUAGCCCCUCAAGAGACGCUCUGUGUGGAAGGGGUGCAGGAUUGGAAGAGCGCGGGGUGAAAGCCGCUUGCAUUGGGGUGGAGGCAGCCGGGCAGCUCGCAGCCGCGCCGGGGAAGGAGACCCCGGAACAGGGGUGCCUGCGAAGAAUCUCUACUGCAGAACCGCCACCAUUCUCCUGAACCGUUUCUCCUCCUUUACCCUUAGUUUUAUUUAUUCACCACCAUCUUUCUUUUCCCAAGUCUCUUUUAGUACUAGGUAUGUUGGGAUAAAAAUGUAGACUGAAACUUGCAGUGAAUUUCGAUGUCAGUCCUCUGAGCGACUCUAGCAAUACCUGAUUCACUGCCUACGUAAACAAAGAGGGAUGAGCGUGCGUGCGUGCGUGCCUGUGUGUGUGUGUGUGUGUGUGUGUGUGUGUGUGUGUGUGUGUUUAGGAAGGAGGGACUCAAGAAAGGACUUUGCAAAGCCAUAACUCAGCUGGAACACAUGUGCAAAUACUUACAGAAGGGGACCGAGCACCAAUAAGCAGAAAUUCCAAGAACACACCAGGGGGAGGAGGCUGUCUUGGAAUCAUGACUUUGCUACUAGCUGGUCAAUUUGGUCCUGUGCUUUAAUCUCUUAACAGAGUUGGAAUUCAGUUUCCUAUGUUAAAUAGCAUGACCCUCCACACCCAAAUACUCAGAGCAGCUCUCAGGCUUAUUCCACAGGGCCACUUGGCGUCCUUGUUCAAAGCCAUGGGUGUCCAGGUGAUUGUAGACUGACCCUGGGAGCUGGAGUGCGGGCGGAAGUGAUCUGUGCUGUAUCCAGGUGAACGCCUGCAAUCCACACUGUGCAUGCCUUCUGUAGAUCGGCACAGCUACAUAAAACAUCUUAAUUCUUUUCUUUUUAACUACUUUCUCUUCUAUACCGCUCCCCCCCCCACAUCCAUCUCUUGGUCUCUUUCCAUUUGAAAAAGAUCUGUCUCCCCAUUUUCUAUUAUCUCUGUUUUAUUUUGCUCUUUAUUUAUACUUUGAGUUUCUCUUAUAGGAGAAAGCAUGUGAUAUUAAAUACUGUGGACCUGAUUUACAUCCUGUAACACUAUGGUUUCAAGAUGCACUCACUUGCCAACAAAUGACUUAUCUUUCUUUACGACCCAGUAGUACUCCAUUACACCACGUUUCUUUUUAUCCAGUCAUCUGCUGAUGGAUACACAGGCUGCUUCCGAGAAACAUGAGGACCUGUCAUUCAUACUCCACAAUCAAUUGCUCCUUUUCCUCUGAACUGAGAGCUGUGUACCCCAGAUUAUAUUAGCUAUGAAGAGAAAACAAUGCCAAUAAAUGCAUUUGUCUGAUGAGUUUAAAA
Molecule: long non-coding RNA, 2162 nt
Organism: Cavia porcellus (domestic guinea pig)
Lineage: Eukaryota; Metazoa; Chordata; Mammalia; Rodentia; Caviidae
Exons: 2
Source: RefSeq, a predicted model, not a curated record